This 103-nucleotide small nuclear RNA is filed under the name Castor canadensis (American beaver). Lineage: Eukaryota; Metazoa; Chordata; Mammalia; Rodentia; Castoridae. The record is from RNAcentral.
UUGCUUUGGCAGCAUUUAUACUAAAAUUGGAACUAUACAGAGAAGAUUAGUGUGGCUCCUGUGCAAAGAUGACAUAGAAAUUUGUGAAGUGUUCCAUAUUAAA